UACGGGGGGGGCAAGCGUUGUUCGGAAUUACUGGGCGUAAAGGGCGCGUAGGCGGCCGGGUUGGUCGUGGGUGAAAUCCCCCAGCUUAACUGGGGAACUGCCUACGAUACUGCCUGGCUCGAGGGAGGAAGGGGCGGUCGGAACUGUCGGUGGAGCGGUGAAAUGCGUUGAUAUCGACAGGAACGCCGGUGGCGAAAGCGGACCGCUGGCCCUCUUCUGACGCUGAGGCGCGAAAGCCAGGGGAGCGAACGGG
This 253-nucleotide ribosomal RNA is filed under the name uncultured bacterium. RNAcentral's name for it is "partial 16S ribosomal RNA". It matches the Rfam family "Bacterial small subunit ribosomal RNA", at positions 524 to 776 of the family's 1533-position model. The record is from RNAcentral.